UACGUAGGGACCAAGCGUUGUUCGGAUUUACUGGGCGUAAAGGGCGCGUAGGCGGCAAUUCAAGUCAGCUGUGAAAUCUCCGGGCUUAACUCGGAACGGUCAGCUGAUACUGCUUUGCUAGAGUGCAGAAGGGGGCAAUCGGAAUUCUUGGUGUAGCGGUGAAAUGCGUAGAUAUCAAAGAGGAAACACCCAAUGGCGAAGGCAGCUCGCUGGGACGUGACUGACGCUGGAGACGCGAAAGCGUGGGGAGCAAACAGG
This 258-nucleotide ribosomal RNA is filed under the name uncultured bacterium. RNAcentral describes it as "partial 16S ribosomal RNA". It matches the Rfam family "Bacterial small subunit ribosomal RNA", at positions 524 to 776 of the family's 1533-position model. The record is from RNAcentral.